GAUGAACGCUGGCGGCGUGCCUAAUACAUGCAAGUCGAGCGAACAGACGAGGAGCUUGCUCCUCUGACGUUAGCGGCGGACGGGUGAGUAACACGUGGAUAACCUACCUAUAAGACUGGGAUAACUUCGGGAAACCGGAGCUAAUACCGGAUAAUAUAUUGAACCGCAUGGUUCAAUAGUGAAAGACGGUUUUGCUGUCACUUAUAGAUGGAUCCGCGCCGCAUUAGCUAGUUGGUAAGGUAACGGCUUACCAAGGCAACGAUGCGUAGCCGACCUGAGAGGGUGAUCGGCCACACUGGAACUGAGACACGGUCAAGACUCCUACGGGAGGCAGCAGUAGGGAAUCUUACGCAAUGGGCGAAAGCCUGACGGAGCAAUGCCGCGUGAGUGAUGAAGGUCUUCGGAUCGUAAAACUCUGUUAUUAGGGAAGAACAAAUGUGUAAGUAACUAUGCACGUCUUGACGGUACCUAAUCAGAAAGCAACGGCUAACUACGUG
This 497-nucleotide ribosomal RNA is filed under the name uncultured bacterium. RNAcentral's name for it is "partial 16S ribosomal RNA". It matches the Rfam family "Bacterial small subunit ribosomal RNA", at positions 28 to 507 of the family's 1533-position model. The record is from RNAcentral.